UCCGCCAAAAGCCCUAACAACCUUCAAGUCAGUUUGCUUGUUUUUGUCAUUUCUGAAUUCUUUUUUCAUUUUCUUCUUCUUUUUCUCAUUUAUCCAUUUAAUAUGAAAUUUUGUAUGAAUAUACGUAACUCUAAGAGGAUGUUUCCUCAACAAUUGUCUAUAAAAGGAAUGAAGAUGAAGAUAUAACAAAAUAUGAUUCUAAUUAUUUAAAUACCGGUUAAAUAGGGAAAAUGAGGAAGAAAUUUACAAUGUGGGGAAUCGAACUCUCGUCAAUAAUUUUUAAGUUAUCCAGUUACUAUGAAUUUGGAAUGAAUAUACAUAAACCUGAGAGGAAUUUUCCUCAACAAUUUUCCAGAAAAGGAAUGAAGAUGAAGAUAACACAAAUAUGAUUCAAAUUAUUUAUAUACUAGUUAAAUGGGGCAAGUCUAUUCAUUUGCUCAUUCAAUGUUGAAUGAUUUUAUUUUUCUUUGUAUGAUUUAUUUUAACAAUAUUUUUUAAUUGUUACUGAAAAGGAAAAUAAGGAAGGAGAUUACAAUUUGGGGAAUCAAA
This is a long non-coding RNA of Solanum pennellii, 549 nucleotides long. RefSeq lists it as uncharacterized. The transcript has 3 exons. Lineage: Eukaryota; Viridiplantae; Streptophyta; Magnoliopsida; Solanales; Solanaceae. The record is from RefSeq and is a predicted model, not a curated record.